CAUGGUUGUCGUCAGCUCGUGUCGUGAGAUGUUGGGUUAAGUCCCGCAACGAGCGCAACCCCUACGUUUAGUUGCUAACGCGUGAAGGCGAGCACUCUAGACGAACUGCCGUUGACAAAACGGAGGAAGGUGGGGAUGACGUCAAAUCAUCAUGCCCCUUAUGUUCUGGGCUACACACGUGCUACAAUGGCCGGUACAGACGGACGCAAAGCCGCGAGGUGGAGCAAAUCCUAAAAAGCCGGUCUCAGUUCGGAUUGCAGGCUGCAAUUCGCCUGCAUGAAGUCGGAAUCGCUAGUAAUCGCAGGUCAGCAUACUGCGGUCGAAUACGUUCCCGGGCCUU
Molecule: ribosomal RNA, 340 nt
Filed under: uncultured Pelotomaculum sp.
Lineage: Bacteria; Bacillati; Bacillota; Clostridia; Eubacteriales; Desulfotomaculaceae
Description: bacterial SSU rRNA
Rfam family: Bacterial small subunit ribosomal RNA
Source: RNAcentral